This 504-nucleotide ribosomal RNA is filed under the name uncultured bacterium. Its description in RNAcentral is "partial 16S ribosomal RNA". It matches the Rfam family "Bacterial small subunit ribosomal RNA", at positions 28 to 507 of the family's 1533-position model. The record is from RNAcentral.
GACGAACGCUGGCGGCGUGCUUAACACAUGCAAGUCGAACGGUGAAGCGCUUGCCUUUUUGGUGGGUGUGGAUGAGUGGCGAACGGGUGAGUAACACGUGAGUAACCUGCCCUCUUCUUCUGGAUAACCUCAUGAAAGUGGGGCUAAUACGGGGUAUUCCGGGUCUGUCGCAUGGCGGGUUUGGGAAAGAUUGCGCCUUUGGGUGUUUUCGGUGGGGGAUGGGCUCGCGGCCUAUCAGCUUGUUGGUGGGGUGAUGGCCUACCAAGGCGGUGACGGGUAGCCGGCCUGAGAGGGUGGACGGCCAGACUGGGACUGAGACACGGCCCAGACUCCUGCGGGAGGCAGCAGUGGGGAAUAUUGCACAAUGGGCGCAAGCCUGAUGCAGCGACGCCGCGUGAGGGAUGGAGGCCUUCGGGUUGUGAACCUCUUUCGCCAGUGAAGCAGGCCUGCUCCUGUGUGGGUGGGUUGACGGUAGCUGGAUAAGAAGCGCCGGCUAACUACGUG